GAUGAACGCUGGCGGCGUGCCUAAUACAUGCAAGUCGAGCGAACAGACGAGGAGCUUGCUCCUCUGACGUUAGCGGCGGACGGGUGAGUAACACGUGGAUAACCUACCUAUAAGACUGGGAUAACUUCGGGAAACCGGAGCUAAUACCGGAUAACAUGUUGAACCGCAUGGUUCAACAGUGAAAGACGGUCUUGCUGUCACUUAUAGAUGGAUCCGCGCCGCAUUAGCUAGUUGGUAAGGUAACGGCUUACCAAGGCAACGAUGCGUAGCUGACCUGAGAGGGUGAUCGGCCACACUGGAACUGAGACACGGUCCAGACUCCUACGGGAGGCAGCAGUAGGGAAUCUUCCGCAAUGGGCGAAAGCCUGACGGAGCAACGCCGCGUGAGUGAAGAAGGUCUUCGGAUCGUAAAACUCUGUUAUUAGGGAAGAACAAAUGUGUAAGUAACUAUGCACGUCUUGACGGUACCUAAUCAGAAAGCCACGGCUAACUACGUG
RNAcentral lists this ribosomal RNA (497 nucleotides) under uncultured bacterium. RNAcentral's name for it is "partial 16S ribosomal RNA". It matches the Rfam family "Bacterial small subunit ribosomal RNA", at positions 28 to 507 of the family's 1533-position model. The record is from RNAcentral.